GCUGUAGUUCAGUGACAGAACACCUGCUUGGCAUGGAGAAGGUCCUGGGUUCAAUCCCUAGCAUCUCCA
RNAcentral lists this transfer RNA (69 nucleotides) under Podarcis lilfordi (Lilford's wall lizard). RNAcentral describes it as "tRNA.Ala". It matches the Rfam family "tRNA". Rfam says of the family: Transfer RNA (tRNA) molecules are approximately 80 nucleotides in length. Their secondary structure includes four short double-helical elements and three loops (D, anti-codon, and T loops). The record is from RNAcentral. Lineage: Eukaryota; Metazoa; Chordata; Lepidosauria; Squamata; Lacertidae.